RNAcentral lists this ribosomal RNA (460 nucleotides) under uncultured bacterium. Its description in RNAcentral is "partial 16S ribosomal RNA". It matches the Rfam family "Bacterial small subunit ribosomal RNA", at positions 338 to 795 of the family's 1533-position model. The record is from RNAcentral.
CCUACGGGAGGCAGCAGUGAGGAAUAUUGGUCAAUGGGCGAGAGCCUGAACCAGCCAAGUCGCGUGAAGGAUGACGGCCCUACGGGUUGUAAACUUCUUUUGUCAGGGAGCAAUUGAGUCCACGUGUGGGCUUAGCGAGAGUACCUGAAGAAAAAGCAUCGGCUAACUCCGUGCCAGCAGCCUCGGUAAUACGGGGGAUGCGAGCGUUAUCCGGAUUUUUUGGGGUAAAAGGGUGCGUAGGCGGAAUAUCAAGUCAGCGGUAACAAUUCGGGGCUCAACCCCGUCGUGCCGUUGAAACUGAUGUUCUUGAGUGGGCGAGAGGUAUGCGGAAUGCGUGGUGUAGCGGUGAAAUGCAUAGAUAUCGCGCAGAACUCCGGUUGCGAAGGCAGCAUACCGGCGACCAACUGACGCUGAAGCACGAAAGCGAGGGUAUCGAACAGGAUUAGAUACCCGGGUAGUC